This is a long non-coding RNA of Mytilus californianus (California mussel), 1519 nucleotides long. RefSeq lists it as uncharacterized. The transcript is spliced from 6 exons. Lineage: Eukaryota; Metazoa; Mollusca; Bivalvia; Mytilida; Mytilidae. The record is from RefSeq and is a predicted model, not a curated record.
UCAACACAAGCGGAAAGAUAAAAGUAGACAGAACACCAAAAAAAAGCAGUGACUGGAACUACAAGGAAUUCAGACAGCUAAUCAUGAGUGAACCAACCGUUAUUGUGACACAGGAAUAUUCAUACAAUGGAAAGCAGAACAAACAGAAAAAAAGAUGGCAAAAUCAUGGCAACCCUCAGGUCGUUCCAGAAGAUGAUGAAAACGAUAGAAAAAAAAGGGACCCUAAGAAGAAGAAGAAGAAUGAUAAAGGCGACCAUCAAAAUUCCAACCGCUUUUCAGAAAGCAAAAAUUUUAUACAAACCAUAGCAGACGUCUCGCUUAUGAUGGCAAAUAUUUCACAGUUAAGAGCAGUUUUAUUUUUAGGAAACAAAUACCAAUUUUAUAUUCACCUCCUAACACUAAUCGUUGUUUCGUUAGUGUCACACGUAUUGUUCGUUUUAUUCACUGUGAUUAGAUCGCAUUUUAAUUACAAACACCGUAUUGCAGUGAGCCGAGCAAAAGCAAAUGCAAUCAACAAGAAAUCAUUUAAGUUCUGCUGUUGUUGUAAAACAAAGUAUAGACGUACCGAAUUCAUUGACAGCGAUCUGUGUCAAUGUCCACAUUGCCGCACCGAUCUUUAUAUGCACUAUGUCUGUUACUUUCUAGUUUUCAUUACAAUUUGUGCUAAUAUUGGGAUAACAGGAAUUGGAAUUUCAGGAGACUGAUAGCCUAAGGAUUAAGUUAUUUUUAAAAUGACAAGGAUGUGAAGUGAACUGCUAUAUAUAAAAUGAUUGACCUCAAUCCUUAGUACCUGAAUGGUGUUUUGUUUAAGUUUUUACUUAUUAACUUUAUAAUGUUAUCAAAUUUUUUCCCCAGGCAACUUUUCUACUGAUGUAAAAUUCGACUCAUUAUCAUAAUAUAUCAAGAUGACUAAAAUCAUUAUUUAAAAAAACCUUUGUGUAUUUGUUGUGUCUGAAUUGCUUUUCUUGUUUUUAAACAAAGACCAUUGAAAAGCAAGGAUGGCUAUAUUUAUAAUUGUACACCUCAGAAAAUAUGUGAACUAAAUCGAAUGUCCAUAUCCACCUUAGGUCAACUAUGCCGGAGGUAUUUUGAAUUAUAUAUUCUCGAUUAUUUUAAUUUAUAGAGAAUUCAAGAAUUUCUGUACCAAUAAUCACGUCGACGCCGGAGCGGAAACUAAAAGUCCACUCAGUGCUAGAAAACGAAAUAACACUUAAUACAGUUCUCGGUACUAAAGCUUGAAGUAGUCAGUAUAUUAAAAUAAUCGGACUAACAUUCAUUAGGAGCACUCAUACUUAUAGCCAAAUUCGUAUUUUUCAAAUUAUUUAUUUUUUUGAUAACUGUAUUUAAAUGUUUGUUUACUGCAAUGUAUAUUAUUUCUAUUGUACAAUCAUAAGCAUAGUAUUUCUAUUCGUCAGUCAUUUUGUGAUAUCGAAUUCUCAUUCAUUAUUUCUUCUUUUGUAUUGUUUACUCUGUAGUGUGUUUACGUUUGCAUUUUUAAUGAUUAAAAGUUUAAGAAUUC